This 805-nucleotide ribosomal RNA is filed under the name uncultured Front Range soil crenarchaeote FRD9. Its description in RNAcentral is "bacterial SSU rRNA". It matches the Rfam family "Archaeal small subunit ribosomal RNA", at positions 21 to 835 of the family's 1478-position model. The record is from RNAcentral. Lineage: Archaea; Thermoproteati; Thermoproteota.
CCCGACUGCUAUCAGAAUAGGACUAAGCCAUGCGAGUCAACGUAGCAAUACGUGGCAUACGGCUCAGUAACACGUAGUCAACAUGCCCAGGGGACGUGGAUAACCUCGGGAAACUGAGGAUAAACCGCGAUAGGUCAUAAUAUCUGGAAUGAUUUAUGGCUAAAAUCUAUAUGGCCCCUGGAUUGGACUGCGGCCGAUCAGGCUGUUGGUGAGGUAAUGGCCCACCAAACCUAAAACCGGUACGGGCUCUGAGAGGAGAAGCCCGGAGAUGGGCACUGAGACAAGGGCCCAGGCCCUAUGGGGCGCAGCAGGCGCGAAAACUCUGCAAUAAGCGAAAGCUUGACAGGGUUAUUCUGAGUGAUUUCCGCUAAGGAAAUCUUUUGGCACCUCUAAAAAUGGUGCAGAAUAAGGGGUGGGCAAGCCUGGUGUCAGCCGCCGCGGUAAUACCAGCACCCCGAGUGGUCGGGACGAUUAUUGGGCCUAAAGCAUCCGUAGCCGGUUCUACAAGUCUUCCGUUAAAUCCACCUGCUUAACAGAUGGGCUGCGGAGGAUACUAUGGAGCUAGGAGGCGGGAGAGGCAAGCGGUACUUAGUGGGUAGGGGUAAAAUCCGUUGAUCCAUUGAAGACCACCAGUGGCGAAGGCGGCUUGCCAGAACGCACUCGACGGUGAGGGAUGAAAGCUGGGGGAGCAAACCGGAUUAGAUACCCGGGUAGUCCCAGCUGUAAACGAUGCAGACUCGGUGAUGAAUAGGCUUCGUGCCUCUUCAGUGCCGCAGGGAAGCCGUUAAGUCUGCCGCCUGGGGAG